This 87-nucleotide transfer RNA is filed under the name Bacteroidota bacterium. Its description in RNAcentral is "Bacteroidetes bacterium (freshwater metagenome) tRNA-Ser". It matches the Rfam family "tRNA". From Rfam's summary of the family: Transfer RNA (tRNA) molecules are approximately 80 nucleotides in length. The record is from RNAcentral. Lineage: Bacteria; Pseudomonadati; Bacteroidota.
GGAGAGGUGGGAGAGUGGCUUAAUCCAACAGUUUGCUAAACUGUCGUACUGGAAACGGUACCGGGGGUUCGAAUCCCCCCUUCUCCG